AUGCUUCCCUUUCGUGUUGAGGACAUUGAAUCCAGCGCGGUGCACCCAGACAGAGGAGGGCGCACACUCUUCGUGUCCGUGGGUCACUGGGACCCGUUACGUGAUGACAUAUAUGACCAGACGAACCCAGAGGACUUCUCACGCACCUCUGAAACCUUCUCUUAUCUGGGGAGCGGCAAGUGGAGGCGCCACGGCGAGUGGGACCUGCCCUUUUUUGGCCAAGGCCACUAUGACGACGACCUCGACGCAUGGGUCGGUCUCCAUAAGAUACACCGUCGUGCUGAUUGGAACUACAAGUCCCACAUGGUACACGACACUGAUGGUUACCUCUGCUCGAGCGAUGUCACGUCUCCAGAGGGGAGCCCAGAGCGACCGGAUUGGAAGCUUUGCACAGAGAGGCUGUUCGACCCUAAUGAUGGCUGGCACGUCGGUGCUAGUCUUGUAUACAUGGGUGACAACACCUAUUGCCUUGUGGAGGUCGAGGCAUGCGAGCGGUUCAACAAGAGGAGUUGUGAGAGGGUCAACAAGGAGUGUGUGACUCGUUUGGUCAUUUUCCGUCUCAAGUAUGGUAAGAACGGUGAGCUCACAAUUACCUCACGCCGGCCCGAUCGCACAUACCUCUUCUCUAGAUUUGAUAACAAUCCUAAGGUUAGGGCGUUCUGGAUGUGA
RNAcentral lists this ribosomal RNA (669 nucleotides) under Triticum aestivum (bread wheat). RNAcentral describes it as "partial small subunit ribosomal RNA". The record is from RNAcentral. Lineage: Eukaryota; Viridiplantae; Streptophyta; Magnoliopsida; Poales; Poaceae.